GGGCCCGUGGCCCAGAAUGGACUAAGGCAUCGGCCUGCGGAGCCGAGGAUCGUGGGUUCAAGUCCCACCGGGCCCG
This 76-nucleotide transfer RNA is filed under the name Candidatus Bathyarchaeota archaeon. RNAcentral's name for it is "tRNA-Arg". It matches the Rfam family "tRNA". Rfam says of the family: Transfer RNA (tRNA) molecules are approximately 80 nucleotides in length. Their secondary structure includes four short double-helical elements and three loops (D, anti-codon, and T loops). Lineage: Archaea; Thermoproteati; Candidatus Bathyarchaeota. The record is from RNAcentral.